Molecule: long non-coding RNA, 3339 nt
Filed under: Sus scrofa (pig)
Lineage: Eukaryota; Metazoa; Chordata; Mammalia; Artiodactyla; Suidae
Description: lncRNA (ENSSSCG00050015417.1)
Source: RNAcentral
UUUUAAUAUUGACGACCAUUAAGAUAUUUAUCUUUUUAAAAGUUAAAAAAACAAAAGACAAAAGCAGUAACAUGCACACUGUAAAAAAGUGUAAAUACAGCUAUACGAAAAUUAAAAAACAACAGAUACACCAAAAAAAAAAAAAAAAACCCAACAAAAAACCAAGCUGUACAAAAAUUAAAAGCGUAUUCCACCAUUCAGCCAUCCAGAGAUUAUAUAAUAACACUUGAGCAGGCAUCCUUCUGCAUCUCAUUCCACACAUACAGGUACUUCUUUAUCAAAGUGAGAUCACACUUUACAUAUUGCUUUGUAACAUUUUUUUCAGUUAAUCUUUACCUUCCAAGAUAUUAUGUUUUCAUCUCAUCUAAUACUCAGUCUAGAUUCCAAUCUUCUCAGGUGUCUCAAAAAUGUCCGUUGCAGUUUGUCUGCCUAAAUGAGGGCUCAAUCUAGAAACAAGUAUUGAUUCUGAUUACGUAUCUUACAUCUCUUUUAAUCUAAAACAGUCCAUUUUCUCAUGAAACCAAUUUGAAGAAAGGCUGGGGCAGCUGUCCCACAGAACAUCACAUCUUGUAAAUUUUUGUUGAUUUAUGGUGUCCUUUACAUGAUCACAUUAUCCUGUAACUACAAGCUAGAAAUUUGACCUAACAGCUUGAUAAUUUUAAGGUACACAUUUGGCGAGAACACAUCAUAGGUGAUUAGUAUAUUUCAUUUUGUAUCAGAUCGAGAGCUAUAUAAGAUAUGAAUGUUUCCCUAUCAAUGAUGUGAAAAAUUGACCACCAGAUUAUGAUGAUAACAGAUCUUUUUUCUUUUUUCCCCAAUUUCAUUUGUGAAAAGUUUUAAAGCAUAGAAAAGUUGACUAGUUCAGUGAACUCUUGGGUGUCCACCACCUUAACAAUUUGUUAAUAUUUUUCUAACUUUAUCUACACAUGUAUAAAAUAUUUCCUUCUUGCUUAACCAUUUGAAACUAAGUUGGAAACAUCAAAAAAUUCACCCUUAAAUAUUUUAUAAUGUAUCACCUAAACAUAACGACAUUCCCUCUAACAGCCAUAUCAUUUUGACCCUUUGUAAUUUAGCAAUUAUUCCCUAAUACCAUUUAAUAUGUAGUUAAUAUCUAAAUCUCCUUAAUUGGCCCCCAAAGGUCUUUUACAGAUUUUUUUAAAACUAGUAUCCAGUCAAGAUCUACUCUUUGCUUUUGGCUAAAUUAUCUUAGUCUCUUUCAGACACUAGAAAGUUCUUCCCCAUUUCCACUUUUUUUUUGAGGGGGGGCUGCACCUGCUACAUGAAGAAGUUCCAGGGCCAGGGAAGUGCUGAGAAGAAUUUCCUGGUGGCUCAGUGGGUUAAGGACCUGGCAUUGUCCCUGCUGUAGCUCUGGUCACUGCAGUGGUGUGAGUUCAAUCCCUGGCCUGGGAACUUCUGCAUGCCAUAGGUGUGGCCAAAAACAAGGUGGUUUAUAAUUGUAUAUAUUUUUUAAAUUAAGAUUUAAUAACUGAGAAUUUUUCAGUUUUUGGAAACUAGUAAUUCAUCACAAAAACAUAACCAGGAAAUAUAACCUAAGGACUUUGGUAGAGUGACCAAUCAUUCCAUUUUGCCCAAGACUAAGGAGCCUCCCAGGAUGUAGGACUUUCAGAGAUAAAACCAGUAAUGAGUUGUCACCCUACUGUCUGGUCACCCUUCGAGGGCACUUAUUUAUGCUGAAGAAAAUAGUUAUAUAUAUGACUGGUUGAAAGUAUAACCCAGUUCUAACCAUUUUUAUUAUACUAAACAUAGGUAUCCCCUUUUGUGAAAGUUGACUUGAUGUCACUUUGCUUUUACAGAAGAUCUACAUUCAUAUAUGUUUUCACUAACCAAAAGAAAUACAAAGAGAUUUUUGCUUUUAUGAAAAAAGGCAAAAAGGGAAAAUAGAACUCAGCCUUUGUUUUGCCAAUUCAGAGGCAGUGUGCACACCAAGCUACAAGAAUAGCAGCACUAACAUCCUUCCUAGGAAAUUAUACUCAGCAUCCUAAAAUCAGGCCACCAUAGUUUUGAAUUGUAUCUGUAUCCGGGCCUUAUCUCAAUGUACUUUUUGCAUCUGUUACCAAGACGUGUACUAAGCUAACUAUGUCUAUACUUUACACCCUUUCAGCUUAUGAAAUUUCACAGGAAUGUUCUACAAUUGGAAAGCAUAGGAAACCAGUAUGUAUAUACUUACACUUUUUAAACUGUCUGAACUAUGCAUUAAUCAUGCAUUUAGAUACAGAAUACAGGCUAGGGAAAAUAUCACAACUAAAAUUCCAUGUCUUGGAGAUACUGCUAUGGUGCAGUAGGUUAAGAACUCAGCAUUGCUCCAGCUGUGGUGUAGGUCUCAGCUGCAGCUUGGGUUGGAUCCCUGGCCCAGGAACUUCCAUAUGUUGCAGGUGUGGCCAAAAUACAUAAAACAAAACAAAACAAAAUAGGAGUUCCUGUUGUGGAGCAGUGGAAAUGAAUCCAACUAGUAACCAUGAGGUGGCAGGUUUGAUCCCUGGCCUUGCUCAGUAGGUUAAGGAUCCGGCGUUGCCGUGAGCUGUGGUGUAGGUCGCAGAUGUGGCUCAGAUCUGGCAUUUCUGUGGCCCUGGCGUAGGCUGGUGGCUACAGCUCUGAUUCAACCCCUAGCCUGGGAACUUCUAUUUGUCCCUAGUGUGACCCUAAAAAGCAAUAAUAAUAAUAAUAAUAAAUUAAAAAAUAAAAUACAAUUCCACAUCUUACCUCUCAAAAAAUAAUAAGCAAUAUCUUACAUUAGAUAUUACUUAAUGCUAUAUCUCAACAUUACUUCUUCUAUUCUAUGACUUAAUGUUCCAUCACUGUUAAAAUCAUAUCCUAAAUCAAUAACCAUUCCAAUACAUUGAGCUCCACAGAAAUAGCACCAGGGCAAGUGAGAACCAGAUGGGCAAUUUAUGACUCUGUGACUCACAGAGCAAAAAAAAAAAACUAAAAAUAACUAAACAUGAGAAAGGAUAUUCUAAGAGACUGAGAAGUAUCAUCAUAUGCAUUCUUUGUACAAACUUGCCAGGAGGAGCACAAGUAGUACCCAGAUGCUUCAGUCACCUUCUCGGAGUUCUCUAAAAAGUGCUCAGAGAGAUGGAAGACAGUGUCAAUUAAAGAAAAAGAAAACUUCCAAGACAUAGCAAAGGCAGACAAGACCCUUAUAAAAGAGAAAUACAAAACUAUGGUCCUCCUAAAGAAACAAAAAAGAAAGUCAAGGACCCCACUGGACCCAAGAGGUAGCCUUCAGUCUUUUUCUUGUUCUGCCCUCAAAUCAAAGGAGAACAUCCCUGCCCACCCAUUGGCGUUGUGGAAGGAAGANAAAAAAAAAAAAAAAAAAAA